Long non-coding RNA from Drosophila willistoni, 552 nucleotides. RefSeq lists it as uncharacterized. The record is from RefSeq and is a predicted model, not a curated record. Lineage: Eukaryota; Metazoa; Arthropoda; Insecta; Diptera; Drosophilidae. The transcript has 2 exons.
UGGGCCGGGAUUCAUCUCCUCCAAUUCCUAGAUAUGCCCACACUUCUGACGCAACUUUCUGUGCAUUCAGUAUAAGUUGAAUAGUAAUUUCCUAGAAUUUCACAACCUAAAUAAUCCCAUUUUACACAAUCGUCGAUGUCAACGGUAGCAGAGGCAAUUCACAUAAACCGUGGAAAGCCAUUGGGGCAUACCAAUCUUCUUUAGCCACACAUGUGUCCGAGCACUCGGCUUCAGUGCGAAACGCCCCCUUUGGAAAUACACAUGGUCGAUAGAACUUACACUUAUUAUCCCAAGAGUCAAAUAUCCAAGCAUCAAUAGGGGGACAAGAUGAAUUUUUCUGGACCUCAACUGAUUUAAAGCAUCUUUCUAUUAACAAAAACAUUAUGUGAAAAGAAAAAAUUUAAAUUUUAUGGCGAAUUCAAUUAUUCAGUUACCGUUUUCCUUAAUCCAACGCACUGUGGUUGGUCCCUUAACACAACUGUACUUGCAAUCUGCAUAUGUAAACAUUAAAUAUAAACAUUAAAGCCACAAAUACAUCCGUAAGAAUACCAA